UAGGGCGAUCUUUAGUGCAUAGCGCAAGUUUCCAAUUAACUUUUCAGCAUACCUUGAAUAUUUAAGGAAUGACCUUAUCUAAUCUCCAGUAGCAAAUUCUGACUAGUAUUGGAGGUGUUAUGCGUCUGGAUCGUCUUAC
Molecule: non-coding RNA, 139 nt
Filed under: Xenorhabdus innexi
Lineage: Bacteria; Pseudomonadati; Pseudomonadota; Gammaproteobacteria; Enterobacterales; Morganellaceae
Description: Yersinia sRNA 155(RyfD)
Rfam family: Yersinia sRNA 155(RyfD)
Source: Rfam by way of RNAcentral